UAGGGAAUCUUCCGCAAUGGACGAAAGUCUGACGGACCAACGCCGCGUGAGUGAAGAAGGAUUUCGGUUCGUAAAACUCUGUUGUUAGGGAAGAAAAAAUGUAUAGUAACUAUAUACAAACGAGACGGUACCUAACCAGAAAGCCACGGCUAACUACGUGCCAGCAGCCGCGGUAAUACGUAGGUGGCAAGCGUUGUCCGGAAUUAUUGGGCGUAAAGCGCGCGCAGGUGGUUUAGAAAGUCUGAUGUGAAAGCCCACGGCUCAACCGUGGAGGGUCAUUGGAAACUAAUAAACUUGAGUGCAGGAGAGAAAAGUGGAAUUCCUAGUGUAGCGGUGAAAUGCGUAGAGAUUAGGAGGAACACCGGUGGCGAAAGCGGCUUUUUGGCCUGCAACUGACACUGAGGCGCGAAAGCGUGGGGAGCAAACAGG
This 429-nucleotide ribosomal RNA is filed under the name Verrucomicrobiota bacterium. RNAcentral's name for it is "Verrucomicrobia bacterium partial 16S ribosomal RNA". It matches the Rfam family "Bacterial small subunit ribosomal RNA", at positions 355 to 776 of the family's 1533-position model. The record is from RNAcentral. Lineage: Bacteria; Pseudomonadati; Verrucomicrobiota.